Molecule: signal recognition particle RNA, 303 nt
Filed under: Saimiri boliviensis boliviensis (Bolivian squirrel monkey)
Lineage: Eukaryota; Metazoa; Chordata; Mammalia; Primates; Cebidae
Description: Metazoan signal recognition particle RNA (ENSSBOG00000013469.1)
Rfam family: Metazoan signal recognition particle RNA
About the family: The signal recognition particle (SRP) is a universally conserved ribonucleoprotein. It is involved in the co-translational targeting of proteins to membranes.
Source: RNAcentral
ACCAGGCGCGGUGGCGCGUGUGCCUGUAGUCCCAGCUACUCAGGAGGCUGAGGUGGGAGGAUUGCUUGAGCCCGGGAGCUCUGGGCUGUAGCGUGCUAUGCGGAUCAGGUGUCCACACUUAAGUUCAGCAUCAAUAUGGUGACCUUCCGGGAGUGGGGGACCACCAGGUUGCCUAAGGAGGGGUGAACUGGCUCAGGUCGGAAACAGAGCAGGUCAAAAACUCCUGUGCUUAUCAGUAGUGGGAUCUCGCCUGUGAAUAGCCACUGCACUCCAGCCUGGGCAACAUAGCGAGACCCUGUCUCU